RNAcentral lists this ribosomal RNA (37 nucleotides) under Miltoniopsis vexillaria. RNAcentral describes it as "partial 26S ribosomal RNA". Lineage: Eukaryota; Viridiplantae; Streptophyta; Magnoliopsida; Asparagales; Orchidaceae. The record is from RNAcentral.
GGACCCCAGGAUGGGGAGGCCACCCGCCGAGUUUAAG